RNAcentral lists this long non-coding RNA (287 nucleotides) under Phasianus colchicus (ring-necked pheasant). RNAcentral's name for it is "lncRNA (ENSPCLG00000017051.1)". Lineage: Eukaryota; Metazoa; Chordata; Aves; Galliformes; Phasianidae. The record is from RNAcentral.
AGAAGGACCCCAGCCUGGAGAUCCGCUACCGGCACAAGAAGAGCCGUGAGAAGGAACACGAGGGCUGCAAGGGGCCGGACAUGGAGCCGGGCCGCGCCGCCAAGGUCAGCGCCACCCUACUGCCACCCUACUGCCACCCUACUGCCACCCCGUGCCACCCUGUGUCACCCUAUGCCACCCCAUGUCAUCCUAUGGCACCCCCAUGCCACCCCAUGCCACCCUGUGUGACCCUGUGUCACCCCCAUGCCAUCCCCACGCCACCCAAUGUCACCCCAUGCCACCCCAUG